UUUACUCUUACCAAAAUGUUGAAUAAAGCCAAUGCCACUGCACACGUUGAUGUCUGCAUUCCUCUUGUGAGUACCUUUUGCCUUGUAACGUUGUACUUAAUUAAUUGCUAUUUGAUUAUGUAUCAUCAGUCUACACCUGAGCUUCAUUAUACUCUAUUUCUUCCAAUAUUAUUUGAUCUACAUUUACUCUUUGCAAAAUGUAGAAUAAUGGCAAUGCUUAUAAAGAAGUUUCUUUAGGGAAUUUAUUGAAUUCUCCUUCCAUCAACAUGGAGAAGGGCUUUGUCUAGCCCGUGUUAACAUGUAAUAACUUUAGCGAAGAUAGUGAGCCAAACCAUCUUUAGGAGAGCGAGAUGACCCCGAGUUAUUGUCUUGAUGAAGAUGGUGAGUUGAAGCUACUCACCAGCAGGUGUGAGACAACCUCUGUACAGUAGCUGCCUCAACCAGUUUGACUUCUUCACUCUCAACUUAAAGCGGAAAGGCUUGCUUCAGCUCAGCUCCGACUUGAAGUCAAAGAUGCAAUGAAGAUGUUAGAGGACUGCCUUGCGCACUAUGGUGUGAUACGUCUCCAACGUAUCUAUAAUUUUGAUUGUUCAAUGCUGUUAUAUUAUAAAUCUUGGACGUUUUACAAUCAUUUAUAGUCAUUUUAUAUCAUUUUUAGGUACUAACCUAUUGACA
Molecule: long non-coding RNA, 675 nt
Organism: Aegilops tauschii subsp. strangulata
Lineage: Eukaryota; Viridiplantae; Streptophyta; Magnoliopsida; Poales; Poaceae
Source: RefSeq, a predicted model, not a curated record